CCUGCGCCUCCCUGGUGCGUGCAUUAGAAUAACCGCGGCUGGGGAAACCGCCGGGGCGCCGCAACCGCCGGGCUCUCCGCGGGCGCGGGGUUCCCGAGGCCGCGCUGCACGAAGGGCCUCCUUGGGCAGAGGAAGAAAACGCGGCAGGAAAAUCCACCCUGAAAUGAGCAGAGCGCGCCAGGUGCUGGUGAUGUCCAAGUCCACAUACAGAUUUUCAGAUCUAAUCCACCCUGUACUUUUGAACUAGACGUGUGUUAGUUUUCAAUGAUCCUGCAGAGAAAUUACAGAUGGACUUAGCAAAAUGUUCCCAGAAUACAAAUAGUGAAAUGGACUGGGUCAGGAACCCAAGUCACAAAGGGUCCCUGAGUCCUUGCUUCUACUGCAGAUGGCCAUCCUUGCAAGGGGCAGCCUAUCUCUCUUUUUUUGAAAGCUCCAUUAUGUGUGUUUACAAAAUAAACAAUGCAUUCAAGUUCA
Non-coding RNA from Oryctolagus cuniculus (rabbit), 474 nucleotides. The record is from RefSeq and is a predicted model, not a curated record. NCBI's taxonomy places the organism in Eukaryota, Metazoa, Chordata, Mammalia, Lagomorpha, Leporidae.